UACAGAGGUGGCAAGCGUUGUUCGGAAUUACUGGGCGUAAAGGGCGCGUAGGCGGUUCGAUAAGUCACGUGUGAAAUCCCUCGGCUCAACUGAGGAACUGCACGGGAAACUGACGGGCUUGAGUUCGGGAGAGGGAAGCGGAAUUCCGGGUGUAGCGGUGAAAUGCGUAGAUAUCCGGAGGAACACCGGUGGCGAAGGCGGCUUCCUGGACCGACACUGACGCUGAGGCGCGAAAGCUAGGGGAGCAAACGGG
Molecule: ribosomal RNA, 253 nt
Filed under: uncultured bacterium
Lineage: Bacteria
Description: partial 16S ribosomal RNA
Rfam family: Bacterial small subunit ribosomal RNA
Source: RNAcentral